Molecule: small nuclear RNA, 73 nt
Organism: Piliocolobus tephrosceles (Ugandan red Colobus)
Lineage: Eukaryota; Metazoa; Chordata; Mammalia; Primates; Cercopithecidae
Gene: U7
Rfam family: U7 small nuclear RNA
About the family: Animal histone pre-mRNAs are spliced by a different mechanism than nuclear pre-mRNAs and self-splicing introns. This processing involves the U7 snRNP, which contains only one RNA species: U7.
Source: Ensembl
GAGUGCUAUAGCUCUUUUAGAAUUUGUCCAGCAGGCUUUCCAGUUUCCCCACACUAAAAAACAAAAAACCAAA